This 478-nucleotide ribosomal RNA is filed under the name uncultured bacterium. Its description in RNAcentral is "partial 16S ribosomal RNA". It matches the Rfam family "Bacterial small subunit ribosomal RNA", at positions 28 to 507 of the family's 1533-position model. The record is from RNAcentral.
GAUGAACGCUGGCGGCGUGCUUAACACAUGCAAGUCGAACGAGAAGUGAAGACGGAAACCUUCGGGCGGAAGGCUUUAUUUCGAGUGGCGGACGGGUGAGUAACGCGUGGGUAACCUGCCUCAUACAGGGGGAUAACAGUUGGAAACGACUGUUAAUACCGCAUAAGACCACAGCUCCGCAUGGUGCGGGGGUAAAAACUCCGGUUGUAUGAGAUGGACCCGCGUUCGAUUAGCCAGUUGGCGGGGUAACGGCCCACCAAAGCGACGAUCGAUAGCCGAUCAGAGAGGAUGACCGGCCACAGUGGGACUGAGACACGGCCCAGACUCCUACGGGAAGCAGCAGUGGGGAAUAUUGCACAAUGGGGGAAACCCUGAUGCAGCGACGCCGCGUGAGUGAAGAAGUAUUUCGGUAUGUAAAGCUCUAUCAGCAGGGAAGAAAAUGACGGUACCUGAGUAAGAAGCCCCGGCUAACUACGUG